GAAAUGCGAUAAGUAGUGUGAAUUGCAGAAUUCAGUGAAUCAUCGAAUCUUUGAACGCACAUUGCGCCCUUUGGUAUUCCAAAGGGCAUGCCUGUUCGAGCGUCAUUUGUACCCUCAAGCUUUGCUUGGUGUUGGGCGUCUUGUCUCUAGCUUUGCUGGAGACUCGCCUUAAAGUAAUUGGCAGCCGGCCUACUGGUUUCGGAGCGCAGCACAAGUCGCACUCUCUAUCAACAAAGGUCUAGCAUCCAUUAAGCCUUUUUUCAACUUUUGACCUCGGAUCAGGUAGGGAUACCCGCUGAACUUAAGC
Molecule: unclassified non-coding RNA, 307 nt
Filed under: plant metagenome
Description: partial contains 5.8S ribosomal RNA, internal transcribed spacer 2, and large subunit ribosomal RNA
Rfam family: 5.8S ribosomal RNA (bases 1-105)
Source: RNAcentral